Molecule: ribosomal RNA, 357 nt
Filed under: Triticum aestivum (bread wheat)
Lineage: Eukaryota; Viridiplantae; Streptophyta; Magnoliopsida; Poales; Poaceae
Description: partial small subunit ribosomal RNA
Source: RNAcentral
AUGGCCACCACCGCCAGCUCGGUGGGGUGCCGGCCCCCCUCGUCGAGGAGAAGCUCCACCAGCACAGUCAUCGCGCCGGCCUCCACGGCCUUGACGCGGUUCCGGCCCCACGGACACAGCCGGCACAGCACGUUCAGCGCGGCCUUCACCGACUUGGCGGACACCCUGUCGGACACCACAUGCACCACCUCCUGCACCACCUCGGGUCUCACCGCCAUGAGACGCGCCGGCUCCAUCACCGACACCAUCGCCUUGAGCAGGAUGAUGCCCGUGACGGGGUCGCGCAUGAUCUCCAGCGAGAUCGGGCACAGGAAGUACGGCGGCACCUCCACCGACGGCCCCUCCAUCGCUGUAUAA